GAUGAACGCUGGCGGCGUGCUUAACACAUGCAAGUCGAACGAUAAAGCCCAGCUUGCUGGGUGGAUUAGUGGCGAACGGGUGAGUAACACGUGAGUAACCUGCCCUUGACUCUGGGAUAAGCCCGGGAAACUGGGUCUAAUACCGGAUAGGAGCGCCUGUCGCAUGACGGGUGUUGGAAAGAUUUUUCGGUCAUGGAUGGACUCGCGGCCUAUCAGCUUGUUGGUGAGGUAAUGGCUCACCAAGGCGACGACGGGUAGCCGGCCUGAGAGGGUGACCGGCCACACUGGGACUGAGACACGGCCCAGACUCCUACGGGAGGCAGCAGUGGGGAAUAUUGCACAAUGGGCGGAAGCCUGAUGCAGCGACGCCGCGUGAGGGAUGACGGCCUUCGGGUUGUAAACCUCUUUCAGUAGGGAAGAAGCGAAAGUGACGUACCUGCAGAAGA
RNAcentral lists this ribosomal RNA (446 nucleotides) under Micrococcus sp. oral taxon F54. RNAcentral describes it as "bacterial SSU rRNA". It matches the Rfam family "Bacterial small subunit ribosomal RNA", at positions 28 to 488 of the family's 1533-position model. Lineage: Bacteria; Bacillati; Actinomycetota; Actinomycetes; Micrococcales; Micrococcaceae. The record is from RNAcentral.